RNAcentral lists this ribosomal RNA (382 nucleotides) under Acinetobacter baumannii. RNAcentral describes it as "bacterial SSU rRNA". It matches the Rfam family "Bacterial small subunit ribosomal RNA", at positions 1 to 385 of the family's 1533-position model. Lineage: Bacteria; Pseudomonadati; Pseudomonadota; Gammaproteobacteria; Moraxellales; Moraxellaceae. The record is from RNAcentral.
UAACUGAAGAGUUUGAUCAUGGCUCAGAUUGAACGCUGGCGGCAGGCUUAACACAUGCAAGUCGAGCGGGGGAAGGUAGCUUGCUACCGGACCUAGCGGCGGACGGGUGAGUAAUGCUUAGGAAUCUGCCUAUUAGUGGGGGACAACAUCUCGAAAGGGAUGCUAAUACCGCAUACGUCCUACGGGAGAAAGCAGGGGAUCUUCGGACCUUGCGCUAAUAGAUGAGCCUAAGUCGGAUUAGCUAGUUGGUGGGGUAAAGGCCUACCAAGGCGACGAUCUGUAGCGGGUCUGAGAGGAUGAUCCGCCACACUGGGACUGAGACACGGCCCAGACUCCUACGGGAGGCAGCAGUGGGGAAUAUUGGACAAUGGGGGGAACCCUG